This 253-nucleotide ribosomal RNA is filed under the name uncultured bacterium. RNAcentral's name for it is "partial 16S ribosomal RNA". It matches the Rfam family "Bacterial small subunit ribosomal RNA", at positions 524 to 776 of the family's 1533-position model. The record is from RNAcentral.
UACGGGGGGGGCAAGCGUUGUUCGGAAUUACUGGGCGUAAAGGGCUCGUAGGCGGCCAACUAAGUCAGACGUGAAAUCCCUCGGCUUAACCGGGGAACUGCGUCUGAUACUGGAUGGCUUGAGUUUGGGAGAGGGAUGCGGAAUUCCAGGUGUAGCGGUGAAAUGCGUAGAUAUCUGGAGGAACACCGAUUGCGAAGGCAGCUCGCUGGAACGUUACUGACGCUGAGACGCGAAAGCGUGGGGAGCAAACAGG